AAAACUUCAAACCCUCAUAACUCUCUCAUCUCUCAACCAAUUUGGGCGAUCCAAAAGGCAAAGUUGUGAGAUUUUUCGAGGACAACGUGUUGGUGAGCUCGGAUAGUGAUUUGGAGUCCCCGUUUGAGCGGGGCAGCGUUUCGAGACCGUUCGGAAAGGGAAAGCUCCGAAGGUGUGAUUUUGGAGCGCAUGUGAUCGGUCUACAAGUCCGGGCACUAGUAGCCAGCGUUGAUCGAGCUUGGAGCAGACUGAUCCGGAGACGGGAGUGAGCACAGGGCGUUUUGUACUAUUUCAGUCUCCAUCUGUAUAUAUAGACUUGUCUUUUACCUUUCGAGACAGUCCAGUCUCUGUUGUCCACUUUUGGGACUUGUACUCAU
This is a long non-coding RNA of Solanum stenotomum, 377 nucleotides long. RefSeq lists it as uncharacterized. The record is from RefSeq and is a predicted model, not a curated record. The transcript has 3 exons. Lineage: Eukaryota; Viridiplantae; Streptophyta; Magnoliopsida; Solanales; Solanaceae.